GAAAAGGUCCAGAAAGGAAGAUGGAGAUGAAGAAGAGCCUAAUAGCAAAAAAUCCAGGCUUGCAAACUCCGAGAGCAGUAGUGAUGAACUUUUUGAAGACGCACAUGAAGAGCUUGACAACCAUGAAACUGGAGGCUCGAGGAAGCGGUCCCGAGAGGAUUUUGAGGAAGAAGAGGAAAACUCGCGUGCUUGCAAACUCCGAGAGCAGUAGUGAUGAACUUUUUGAAGACGCACUUGAAGAGCUUGACAACCAUGAAACUGGAGGCUCGAGGAAGCGGUCCCGAGAGGAUUUUGAGGAAGAAGAGGAAAACUCGCGUGUUUG
Long non-coding RNA from Oreochromis aureus, 322 nucleotides. NCBI's taxonomy places the organism in Eukaryota, Metazoa, Chordata, Actinopteri, Cichliformes, Cichlidae. The record is from Ensembl.